This 528-nucleotide long non-coding RNA is filed under the name Solanum tuberosum (potato). RNAcentral's name for it is "long non-coding RNA (STUB_LNC006146)". Lineage: Eukaryota; Viridiplantae; Streptophyta; Magnoliopsida; Solanales; Solanaceae. The record is from RNAcentral.
UUUCUGUUGAACCCUUUGGUCUACCCCUUCCUCUUUUAGUUGGAGCAUUAGGUGUUGCUCUUGGGCCAACAAUUUGUGUUGAUGUUGGUGCAGCAGCAGGGACAACAGUUUAUGUUGAUGUUGGUGCAGCAGCAGGGCCAGAAGGAGGUCUUGAACUUGGUGCAGCAGGGCCAAAAGGAGGUCUUGAACUUGGUCCAGCAGCAGGUCUUGAACUUGGUCCAGCAGUAAAGCUUGUGCCAGAAGCAGGUGCACCAAGAGGACACUUUCUUUUAUUGUGACCCUUGUUAUGACAAGUGCUGCAUGACAUCUCAAUCCCUCUUUUGGAUAAUUUUCCAGUUUUACUGGUUUCACCUUGCUUUUUCUUCCUUUUCUUGCCAGGCCUUCCUGGCAUCUUCCUAAUAUGAGGUCGUAUCAUAGAGAUGUUUUGUGAUUCUGGCCAUAUUUUCAGAUUCAUAACUGGCUGAAUGAAGUAGUUGUAUGUCUUCAUGUAUGUUUCUCUGUUAUACCAAUGAGAAAUGUAGUUGAUUG